AACUUUCGGCAACGGAUCUCUUGGUUCUGGCAUCGAUGAAGAACGCAGCGAAAUGCGAUAAAUAAUGUGAAUUGCAGAAUUUAGUGAAUCAUCGAAUCUUUGAACGCACAUUGCGCCCGCUAGUAUUCUGGCGGGCAUGCCUGUUCGAGCGUCAUUUCAACCCUCAAGCGCUGUUCGCUUGGUGUUGGGGUUAUUUACGGGUUAAACCUGUAAGCCCUGAAAAUUAGUGGCGGGCUCGCUAGCAUCCCGAGCGCAGUAGUUUUACUUUCUCGCUUUGGGCGUGCGGCGGGUUUUUCCCAGCCAUUAAACACCCUUACUUUUAAAGGUUGACCUCGGAUCAGGUAGGAAUACCCGCUGAACUUAAGCAUAUCAAUAAGCGGAGGCU
RNAcentral lists this unclassified non-coding RNA (385 nucleotides) under uncultured Sordariomycetes. RNAcentral describes it as "sequence contains ITS2". The stretch from base 1 to 154 matches the Rfam family "5.8S ribosomal RNA". The record is from RNAcentral. Lineage: Eukaryota; Fungi; Ascomycota; Sordariomycetes.